UUACUACCGCAGUGGCAGUAUCGUAGCUAAUGAGGUUAAUCCGAGGCGUGAUCAUUGCUAGUUGAAAACUUUUCUUACUCCUAACACUG
Molecule: small nuclear RNA, 89 nt
Filed under: Gopherus agassizii (Agassiz's desert tortoise)
Lineage: Eukaryota; Metazoa; Chordata; Testudines; Testudinidae
Description: U4 spliceosomal RNA (ENSGAGG00000013386.1)
Rfam family: U4 spliceosomal RNA
About the family: U4 small nuclear RNA (U4 snRNA) is a component of the major U2-dependent spliceosome. The structure of U4 snRNA from yeast and human has been reported.
Source: RNAcentral